CAGGCCAGUAUUAAGCAUUACCCCGUGGUGGGGUUCCCGAGCGAUCAUAAGGGAGCUGACUGCAAAUCUGCCGUCAUCGACUUCAAGGUUCGACUCGAGCAAUAGUGAGAGAACGUUGCCGCAGGCAACGGCCCGAAGAGUGAGGAGCUUUAGCUCCGAAUAAUCCUUCCCGCUAUAGAA
This 180-nucleotide small RNA is filed under the name Salmonella enterica subsp. enterica serovar Infantis str. SARB27. RNAcentral describes it as "RtT RNA". The stretch from base 39 to 180 matches the Rfam family "RtT RNA". Rfam says of the family: This family represents a bacterial cis-regulatory element known as RtT RNA. The exact function of RtT is unknown although it is thought that it may be involved in changing the cellular response in relation to amino acid starvation. The record is from RNAcentral. Lineage: Bacteria; Pseudomonadati; Pseudomonadota; Gammaproteobacteria; Enterobacterales; Enterobacteriaceae.